UACGGGGGGGGCAAGCGUUGUUCGGAAUUACUGGGCGUAAAGAGCGCGCAGGCGGUCGAUCAAGUCGAGUGUGAAAGCCCCCGGCUCAACUGGGGAGGGUCAUUCGAUACUGAUCGACUCGAAGGCAGGAGAGGGUAGUGGAAUUCCCGGUGUAGUGGUGAAAUGCGUAGAUAUCGGGAGGAACACCAGUGGCGAAGGCGACUACCUGGCCUGUUCUUGACGCUGAGGCGCGAAAGCUAGGGGAGCAAACAGG
RNAcentral lists this ribosomal RNA (253 nucleotides) under uncultured bacterium. RNAcentral describes it as "partial 16S ribosomal RNA". It matches the Rfam family "Bacterial small subunit ribosomal RNA", at positions 524 to 776 of the family's 1533-position model. The record is from RNAcentral.